Molecule: long non-coding RNA, 1306 nt
Filed under: Mus spicilegus (steppe mouse)
Lineage: Eukaryota; Metazoa; Chordata; Mammalia; Rodentia; Muridae
Description: lncRNA (ENSMSIG00000019760.1)
Source: RNAcentral
CUGGAAGCCAUCCAUGCGGCACUUUCCUUCCAGGGCCCUGAUGUGUGACAGUUUCCUGCGUGAGACUUCCCUUCUUACUUGGCACUUGGAUUUUAAAAUGACUCAGUGAUUAAUGCUUCAGAGCUGCACGUGAUAAUUGUCUUGGCAGAAGGCGAUGUCUUUGUUCUUAGUCACACACCUUUUGUGUGGUGUUUCCCACUCUGGCUCCCUUAUUUAUGACCUGUUGGCAUGCAUCUAUAUUUAGCAAGUAAAUUGCUGAUAUCUAACGAGUCAUCAAAGCAGUCAUCUUGGACUCUGAAACCAAAGCCAUAUAAAGUCAGGUCCGUAGCCACUGAUGUCUUCUCGUCAGAGGCUGCUGAGAAUAAGAAAAUGUUCGAAGACAUCUCCCACAGAGCUCUCUGGUCUAGUUCCUGUAUCAUUCCCAUUCAUCCUUAAAAGCAGAAAGUAUUUACUCGAUGUUUGGCCUGGGCUUUCAGCCGUGGGAAAAAAAUUCACCUUUGAGUGCCCAUAUUAAAAGCCAAAACCAAGUAGACAUGGGUGAGAAUUCUCAAGCAGACUCCUAAGAUCUUUCAAAACUCCUCAGAGGAUUAAAAACCGAGCCCUAGAAACAGGUAAGAGAGGGAUGGAAUCUGAAGUGCUCUAUUCUAGUCUUUGUGUGUAUGGGGAUAUGGGGGCAUCAAGAUAGGGUUUCUCUGUGUAGCUAUGGCGGUUCUGGAACUCACUCUGAAGACCAGGCUGGCCUUGAACUCAGAGGUCCUCCUGCAUCUGCCUCCACAGUGCUAGGAUUAAAGGCCUGCAAUGCCGCCACCACCACCACCACCGUCACCACCAUUACCCAAUGGCCUGUUCCACUCUUCAACAUUCCCACUCCCACCAGUGCUCAAACACUCUUGUGGCCGAAUCAGGGAAUGGAUGCACUGGUUUAAGAAGUGGAAGACGGACGUCGCUGUAACAAUUAUUGAGAAAAAAAAACUUUAGUUGCUAUCUUCUACGAUUCAUCCAGACAUAUUCCUGUGAGAGCUUUGGAAUGAUUGACAUUUUCUAAAGAUAACUUUAUCAAACGAGAUUACCAAAAUCUUGACAGAUAUAGCACUAGUGACUAAUUUUCAAAAUGAUGGACAUGGCAUUAGAGAGAUGACUCAGCAGUUAACAGCAUAUAUGACUCUUCAAAGUACCAGAGCUUGGUUUCCAGUACCCACAUUUGGUGGCUUCAGCCUCAGGAAGCCCAACACCUCCAAGAAUACCUGAAAUCACAUGUGCUUAACCCAACGCUAUACAGAAACAUACAAGCAGAAAUAAUAAAAAC